UUCACAUUGAUCAUCGAUAAUUCAUGAUCAGAACAAUAAUAAUGAUAAUAAUGAAUUUUCCCUGUAUACAAAAUAAAACAAAACAAAACAAAAUUCAAGAGAAGGUAAAUAACAUUCAAAAAUAGGUAAAUCAAAAUAAUCAAUUAACAAAUAUUUAUCCUGAAUUAGUAUAAAAUACAAGAUAUUUUCUAUUUUAAACUUCUAUUAAAACACAUCGACAAGAUAAUUUUAACAAGAGGGUUGGCUAAAUAAGCAACAGCAAUAUUAAAAUACAUCAACAAAGAACUACCUCAAUUUGCAACACUAAAUCAACAAAUUUAGUAGAUUGAAAUUGAUAAACUAAAUUCAAUAUAAAAUUUUAACAUAACGGCAAGCCCAAGAUUCAUGAGUGUUCAAUUUGCGGUUCAUAAUUCACAUCUGGACAAGCACUUGGUGGUCACAUGAGGAGGCAUAGGACAACUGUCAUCACUAUUACUAGUCCUCAACCAACGCUGGAGGUUGUUAAGCUACCGCAGAAUCUUCUGGAUUUGGAUCUUAACCUUCCGGUACCAGCCAACGACGACCACCACCACCGGGAUUCCCAGUUUCAGUUCUCGGGCGCACAGAAAACCAUGAUGCUUUUUGCUGCACCACCUUUGGUGGAUUGUCAUUAUUAAUUAGGAGGCCAGGUUGGGAAUUAGUUGAACAAGCUAAGCUAAGGGGAAAAUUUUAUUAUUAUCAUUAUUAUUGUUUUGAUCAUGAAUUAUCGAUGAUCAAUGUGAACUAUUAGCUUUAUUUUAAUUUGAAUUACACUAUACUAUUACGAUUGUCAAUUUUAUUAUUAUUAUUAUUAUUAUUAUUAGUAAAAGAAAAGAAAGAAGAACAGAUAUGAAAGACAUAAACUUCAACAAUAUCAUGAGUUUCGAAAAAAGAUCUAAAAAGAUGCAAGCUUCAAUAACAAGAAAACAGUAGCGGUGACAACGCAAAACAAAGUAGAAGCGCGAUGAGACUAUGCAAAACAAGUGAUGGCAAGCUAAAACAAAAAAAGCGGCACAAAAAAGAUUGAACAGAAAAGCAAAAAAAAUGACUUUACACAAAAAUAGAGUAGAGCAGCGCGAGAAUAAAAAAAGAUUGAACGAGACUGAUGAUGUUGGCUGUACGUGUAAGAGCUAAACACGAAGGAAAUAAAAAUUAAGACUGGGAGAUGAUUGAGAGUAAGAUGCAAAAAAUCCUAAAUGAGAGGAUAUUUGUCUUUUUCUAUUAAUUUGAUCUUAAUUUGAUGAUAAAAAAUUUAAAAAAUAAAAAGUUUUAAAAAUUGUUGAUUAAAAAGAUUGUCUCUGAACUUUUCAUUGUGAAAAAAUUGAAAAUGAACAAGUAGUAUAUAUAAGUCAUAAAAUCAACAGUAAUAUGAGACAUAACAGGCAGCUGCAUGGUGUAUGUGUUUCCUUGAGAGUUGUUUAUGGCUGUAAAAGUUGAGUUAGUUCUCAUGACCAAAUAUCACUACAACAUUCUUACUAAUUGGUGGAGGUUUUAUAGUGGAAGUUUUUAAAAAUCUCCCCAACAUAAUCUAUUUGUAGCAAUUUAGAAACCCCCCAAAUAAAUUUACACAGCUUAAAACAACCACACACCCAAAGGCCCAUCCAAAUACUCAAAGUCCAUACCAAAGAUGCAAAAUAAGGCUAGCUUUGAAUGAGAAGAAGAGUGAACAAGACCAAUUGAUCGAAACCCUAAAUUGUAGUCUUCGUCAACGUCGCUACCGCCACCAUCGGCACCACCACCGCCACCGCCAUUCAUCUCCUUGCCACUAGCGCUAAUGCCACAACGUGCUUCGACAAUCUCUUUUUCUGUUUCUUCUUUCACCGCGUCUCUUGAGUUUGCGUCACGGAGGAGAAGUAAUAUGAAGCUACUCUUAGUAGAGGAAUUAUUUGACUAAUCUGACGGUAAAUCCGAUGGUACUCAACUUUUUUCUUGUAGUGAUACUUGGUUGGUACCAAGAAUCAAGUGAUCUUCUUUCAACCAUGCAAUGGCUUUUGAUUGUUUGCUUUUGCAAAUUCAGAUAGGGGUUCAGACACAGAUGAUAGAAGGUCAACUACAGGCUUUUAUGUCUAUUUAGGAUCCAAUAUGAUCUCAUGGGCAAGUAGAAAGCAACAUUUAGUAAGCAAAUCCAGUGCUGAAGCUGAAAUUCAAGAGCAUUGCAGUAGCAGAAAUAGAUGUUCAAUGGAUCCGUCACCUGUUUACAGAACUUCAAAUCAAAUGCACUCAUGUUCUAGUACUUUAUAUUGACAACAUUAGUACUGUGAUGCUCACUGCCAAUCUAGUUCUACACAACAAAACCAAGCACUUCAAUUUGAAUCUUCAUUCAGUUAGAGAAAGAGUCAAUUGAACACAACUUGUUAUAAUGCACAUUCCAUCAAUUGACUAAGUAGUAGACCUCCUUACCAAACCUCUCUUCCUUCACAGUUUUGAGAAAUUCAAAAUCAAACUCACGGUAUUGUCUAAGAAGAUCAUGAGUUUGAAGGGAGUAUUAAGUAUGAAAGAGUCGAAGUAACUUAGUGAGCAAGAAGAAGAAGAACUCUUCUUUUAAUAAUUCUGUAUUAUAACUACUUUCAGAUGUCAUUACUAGUUUAGGCUGAGUCAGAUAUAUUUAAUUAGCUCUUUCUAUAUAUAAAUAUGAAGACUGCUUUUAUUGUAGAGUAAUGUAGUUACACUUUUCAUAAUCAAUUCCAUUAUUUUCUUCAUCAA
Molecule: long non-coding RNA, 2721 nt
Organism: Arachis duranensis
Lineage: Eukaryota; Viridiplantae; Streptophyta; Magnoliopsida; Fabales; Fabaceae
Exons: 2
Source: RefSeq, a predicted model, not a curated record